RNAcentral lists this long non-coding RNA (704 nucleotides) under Gossypium barbadense (sea-island cotton). RNAcentral describes it as "long non-coding RNA (GBAR_LNC007144)". Lineage: Eukaryota; Viridiplantae; Streptophyta; Magnoliopsida; Malvales; Malvaceae. The record is from RNAcentral.
UCCAGUGGUGCGACGACGCGCGGUAAGCCUCUUCUCCUCUCUCUGAUCUUUCACAUGUGCUAUGGAAUGGAAAAAAGAAAAAAAGGAGAGGAAAAAGAAAGAACAAAGUUACAGAAAAUAAUCACCUUUGAAGUGUUCUUGAUUGCUUUCAACUGAUUUUCGUGUGUAUCUUAUAUUAUAACUCGUAUUCUAUUUCUCUAAAAAAAAACCUUUACAAUUAAAAAUCGAAGGCUUUAUCGCCAAUAUACAAGCGGUUUCUACUGUUUCCUUGUCCAACUCGCAGGCCGUAAAGUUGUGGAGGACGAGGGGUGUGGAGCACGGGCGCGAACAUGGAGCGGGGCACACGGGGAUUAUGCGUGGAGUGUCGACAUAGGGUUGCGGCGUGGGUGACCUAGGUUUCCCUAGAUUAGCCGAUUAGAUUUAGAUUUUGGGCCAUGGGUAUUGGGCCUGUCUCAUGUAAUUGGGUUAACUUCAUUUUGGGCUUUGGGUUUAUAUUUGGGCCAGGCAAUUUUGGCCCAUUACAAGGCACAUAAUGGUUUAGAUAAAUUAUUGAUUGAACGCCUUUGAUUUAUGUCUAAACCAUUACUUAUAAUAACUAAACUUCCUAUUUCAACAUGAGAUUAUGUUGAUUUACGUGUUGUACACAUCAAGCCAAUAAAUUAUAAAUACUACCCAUUACAAUUAGUUUUUGAUCAAGAGUUAAA